RNAcentral lists this unclassified non-coding RNA (201 nucleotides) under uncultured Hydnangiaceae. Its description in RNAcentral is "sequence contains ITS2". Lineage: Eukaryota; Fungi; Basidiomycota; Agaricomycetes; Agaricales. The record is from RNAcentral.
AAUUCUCAACCUUUCCAUUAAUUUAAUUUGGUUUGGCUUGGAUGUGGGGGUUGCAGGCUUCAUUUGACUAUGAGGUCAGCUCUCCUUAAAUGCAUUAGUGGAACUUUUGUUGACCAUCUAUUGGUGUGAUAUCUAUCUACACUGUGGAUGUGAAGCAGUGUUGUUCAGCUUCUAACCGUCUAUUAUUGACUUUACUUGACC